This 361-nucleotide long non-coding RNA is filed under the name Homo sapiens (human). Its description in RNAcentral is "HSALNT0262103". The record is from RNAcentral. Lineage: Eukaryota; Metazoa; Chordata; Mammalia; Primates; Hominidae.
CAAAACUCAGGAGGAUUGUGCUAUGAUAAACAAGGCUAACCUGCUGAUUCUCUGAAGCAAGGAACUGGAGAUGGUCCUUCUAAGGGUUUAUAUUCUGGAUUCCAGGAAACAUGCAAACAGGACCCAUAAAUGCAUCUUUAUUUUGGUGCCCAUUUUGACCUGGUCAGGAGAAUUCCAACAAAAAAUCCACGGUGUUGGAGCAAGAUCUCAGGCUCUCAGGCUGUGGCCAUCUAGAGAUUCCAUUUUGGAUGCUCCCAUCGGGACUGUGUGUCCCUGUGCUGGAACUCGAGUGAACACUUGGCUCAAAAUCCAUUGCUGUUCUCUAGAAAUCCUGCCCUAUUCUCUUGGUGAAAUAUAAGGU